RNAcentral lists this ribosomal RNA (1536 nucleotides) under Enterobacter cloacae. Its description in RNAcentral is "bacterial SSU rRNA". It matches the Rfam family "Bacterial small subunit ribosomal RNA". Lineage: Bacteria; Pseudomonadati; Pseudomonadota; Gammaproteobacteria; Enterobacterales; Enterobacteriaceae. The record is from RNAcentral.
UUGAAGAGUUUGAUCAUGGCUCAGAUUGAACGCUGGCGGCAGGCCUAACACAUGCAAGUCGAGCGGUAACACAGGGAGCUUGCUCCCGGGUGACGAGCGGCGGACGGGUGAGUAAUGUCUGGGAAACUGCCUGAUGGAGGGGGAUAACUACUGGAAACGGUAGCUAAUACCGCAUAAUGUCGCAAGACCAAAGAGGGGGACCUUCGGGCCUCUUGCCAUCAGAUGUGCCCAGAUGGGAUUAGCUAGUAGGUGGGGUAAUGGCUCACCUAGGCGACGAUCCCUAGCUGGUCUGAGAGGAUGACCAGCCACACUGGAACUGAGACACGGUCCAGACUCCUACGGGAGGCAGCAGUGGGGAAUAUUGCACAAUGGGCGCAAGCCUGAUGCAGCCAUGCCGCGUGUAUGAAGAAGGCCUUCGGGUUGUAAAGUACUUUCAGCGGGGAGGAAGGUGUUGAGGUUAAUAACCUCAGCAAUUGACGUUACCCGCAGAAGAAGCACCGGCUAACUCCGUGCCAGCAGCCGCGGUAAUACGGAGGGUGCAAGCGUUAAUCGGAAUUACUGGGCGUAAAGCGCACGCAGGCGGUCUGUCAAGUCGGAUGUGAAAUCCCCGGGCUCAACCUGGGAACUGCAUUCGAAACUGGCAGGCUAGAGUCUUGUAGAGGGGGGUAGAAUUCCAGGUGUAGCGGUGAAAUGCGUAGAGAUCUGGAGGAAUACCGGUGGCGAAGGCGGCCCCCUGGACAAAGACUGACGCUCAGGUGCGAAAGCGUGGGGAGCAAACAGGAUUAGAUACCCUGGUAGUCCACGCCGUAAACGAUGUCGACUUGGAGGUUGUGCCCUUGAGGCGUGGCUUCCGGAGCUAACGCGUUAAGUCGACCGCCUGGGGAGUACGGCCGCAAGGUUAAAACUCAAAUGAAUUGACGGGGGCCCGCACAAGCGGUGGAGCAUGUGGUUUAAUUCGAUGCAACGCGAAGAACCUUACCUACUCUUGACAUCCAGAGAACUUAGCAGAGAUGCUUUGGUGCCUUCGGGAACUCUGAGACAGGUGCUGCAUGGCUGUCGUCAGCUCGUGUUGUGAAAUGUUGGGUUAAGUCCCGCAACGAGCGCAACCCUUAUCCUUUGUUGCCAGCGGUUAGGCCGGGAACUCAAAGGAGACUGCCAGUGAUAAACUGGAGGAAGGUGGGGAUGACGUCAAGUCAUCAUGGCCCUUACGAGUAGGGCUACACACGUGCUACAAUGGCGCAUACAAAGAGAAGCGACCUCGCGAGAGCAAGCGGACCUCAUAAAGUGCGUCGUAGUCCGGAUUGGAGUCUGCAACUCGACUCCAUGAAGUCGGAAUCGCUAGUAAUCGUAGAUCAGAAUGCUACGGUGAAUACGUUCCCGGGCCUUGUACACACCGCCCGUCACACCAUGGGAGUGGGUUGCAAAAGAAGUAGGUAGCUUAACCUUCGGGAGGGCGCUUACCACUUUGUGAUUCAUGACUGGGGUGAAGUCGUAACAAGGUAACCGUAGGGGAACCUGCGGUUGGAUCACCUCCUU